AGAGUUUGAUCAUGGCUCAGAAUGAACGUUGGCGGCGUGCCUAACACAUGCAAGUCGAGCGUGAAAGUUCCUUCGGGAACAAGUAAAGCGGCGAACGGGUGAGUAACGCGUGGGAAUCUGCCUUUUAGUGAAGGAUACCUUCGAGAAAUUGAAGUUAAUACUGCAUACGUCCCUUCGGGGAGAAAGAUGGCCUCUUUGCUGUCGCUAGAAGAUGAGCCCGCGUACUAUUAGUUAGUUGGUGGGGUAAAGGCCUACCAAGACGAUGAUGGUUAGCCGGCCUGAGAGGGUGUACGGCCACAUUGGGACUGAGAUACGGCCCAGACUCCUACGGGAGGCAGCAGUGAGGAAUCUUGCGCAAUGGGGGAAACCCUGACGCAGCGACGCCGCGUGGAGGAUGAAGGUUUUAGGAUUGUAAACUCCUGUUAAGCGGGAAGAAACGUGUUGGUUUAAUACACCAACAUAAUGACGGUACCGCU
Molecule: ribosomal RNA, 476 nt
Filed under: uncultured Desulfonauticus sp.
Lineage: Bacteria; Pseudomonadati; Thermodesulfobacteriota; Desulfovibrionia; Desulfovibrionales; Desulfonauticaceae
Description: bacterial SSU rRNA
Rfam family: Bacterial small subunit ribosomal RNA
Source: RNAcentral